Molecule: ribosomal RNA, 346 nt
Filed under: uncultured bacterium
Lineage: Bacteria
Description: partial 16S ribosomal RNA
Rfam family: Bacterial small subunit ribosomal RNA
Source: RNAcentral
CCUACGGGGGGCAGCAGUGAGGAAUAUUGGUCAAUGGACGAGAGUCUGAACCAGCCAAGUAGCGUGAAGGAUGACUGCCCUAUGGGUUGUAAACUUCUUUUAUAAAGGAAUAAAACGAGGCACGUGUGCCUUUUUGCAUGUACUUUAUGAAUAAGGAUCGGCUAACUCCGUGCCAGCAGCCGCGGUAAUACGGAGGAUCCGAGCGUUAUCCGGAUUUAUUGGGUGUAAAGGGAGCGCAGGCGGGCUGUUAAGCCGGCGGUAAAAAUUCAGGGCUCAACCCUGUCGAGCCGUCGGAACUGGCAGUCUUGAGUGGGCGAGAAGUAUGCGGAAUGCGUGGUGUAGCGGU